RNAcentral lists this long non-coding RNA (864 nucleotides) under Homo sapiens (human). RNAcentral describes it as "HSALNT0001221". Lineage: Eukaryota; Metazoa; Chordata; Mammalia; Primates; Hominidae. The record is from RNAcentral.
UGCAUCUUCUGAAGAUCAGCCACAGCACAUAGAGGAUUCCUAGUGUGGGGCUAGGAAAGGGUAUGCAGUCAGUGUUUCGGAUUCACAGUGGACCCACAUUUCCAUGUGGAGGAAGUCAAACCCACCUCCCAGAGUCGUGAAAGUCCAUUAUCUGUAGCCUGUUAAUUCUCUGAGAAUGGAGAAGGGGGGUUAAAUGUAAAGGUCAGUUAAAAGAUAAUUACCUUGCAAUUCUUCCACCAAUAUUUCCUCUUCAACUUGGCUGCGCUCGUUUCAAAUUGAGAAGCGCCUGCCUGCAGUGCGUCUGCACGGUCGUCUAACUCAGAGAGCUUCUGGUCUCUUUCCAGAACCUUGUCCACGUUAACUCGCAUUAUGUCCACCACCUAGAUGAGUGUGAUCACAGCAAGUAAUGCACAAAGAAUGGAGGAACAGGGCCAGGUGCGGUACUCAUCUUUUAAAAUCUUCAUCAAAGGCUUUAUUUCUCCCCAUGCAGAUCUUUCUUAACCACUCUGACUCUGAAGUCAUUAUUGGCUCCAUUACUUGGAAAGUAUCACUUUGGUUUUUCAGGUAUAAAGUCCCGCCUCCUCGAAUAGAUCACAGGUUCCUGGGUCUUCUUACUCUCUUCUCUGUAUCCUAGAUAGCACCUAGCAUGUGCCUUGGUAUACAACAGUCUGAUGGGCUGUUUGAACAGUCACUUUACAUCUGUCAUGUGUCAAUGACCAGGGCUACAACAGAUCUCAUCACCGUCCUCACGGAGUUUAGUAUCUGGUAGAUAAGUAAGGACCAUGCCGUGGCGCUAGACUCUUUCCAUGCUUUUCCUCCUUUAACCCUCAUAACUCUCUGAGGGGAAUAUUACUCCUAUUUUAC